GACGAACGCUGGCGGCGUGCUUAACACAUGCAAGUCGAACGGAAAGGCCCUGCUUUUGUGGGGUGCUCGAGUGGCGAACGGGUGAGUAACACGUGAGUAACCUGCCCUUGACUUUGGGAUAACUUCAGGAAACUGGGGCUAAUACCGGAUAGGAGCUCCUGCUGCAUGGUGGGGGUUGGAAAGUUUCGGCGGUUGGGGAUGGACUCGCGGCUUAUCAGCUUGUUGGUGGGGUAGUGGCUUACCAAGGCUUUGACGGGUAGCCGGCCUGAGAGGGUGACCGGCGAGAUUGGGACUGAGAUACGGCACAGACUGCUACGGGAGGCAGCAGUGGGGAAUAUUGCACAAUGGGCGGAAGCCGGAUGCAGCAACGCCGCGUGCGGGAUGACGGCCUUCGGGUUGUAAACCGCGUUCGCCUGUGACGAAGCGUGAGUGACGGUAAUGGGUAAAGAAGCAACGGCUAACUACGUG
Molecule: ribosomal RNA, 468 nt
Filed under: uncultured bacterium
Lineage: Bacteria
Description: partial 16S ribosomal RNA
Rfam family: Bacterial small subunit ribosomal RNA
Source: RNAcentral